UACGUAGGCAGCAAACGUUGUUCGGAAUUACUGGGCGUAAAGAGUGUGUAGGCGGUCUUGUAAGUUUUGUGUGAAAUCUCCCGGCUUAACUGGGAGGGUGCGCCGAAAACUGCAAGGCUUGAGUGCUGGAGAGGAUAGCGGAAUUCCUGGUGUAGCGGUGAAAUGCGUAGAUAUCAGGAGGAACACCGGCGGUGUAGACGGCUAUCUGGACAGUAACUGACGCUGAGACACGAAAGCGUGGGGAGCAAACAGG
RNAcentral lists this ribosomal RNA (253 nucleotides) under uncultured bacterium. Its description in RNAcentral is "partial 16S ribosomal RNA". It matches the Rfam family "Bacterial small subunit ribosomal RNA", at positions 524 to 776 of the family's 1533-position model. The record is from RNAcentral.